GAAGAACGCGGGCGGCGUGCUUAACACAUGCAAGUCGAACGGAAAGGCCCUGCUUUUGUGGGGUGCUCGAGUGGCGAACGGGUGAGUAACACGUGAGUAACCUGCCCUUGACUUUGGGAUAACUUCAGGAAACUGGGGCUAAUACCGGAUAGGAGCUCCUGCUGCAUGGUGGGGGUUGGAAAGUUUCGGCGGUUGGGGAUGGACUCGCGGCUUAUCAGCUUGUUGGUGGGGUAGUGGCUUACCAAGGCUUUGACGGGUAGCCGGCCUGAGAGGGUGACCGGCCACAUUGGGACUGAGAUACGGCCCAGACUCCUACGGGAGGCAGCAGUGGGGAAUAUUGCACAAUGGGCGGAAGCCUGAUACAGCAACGCCGCGUGCGGGAUGACGGCCUUCGGGUUGUAAACCGCUUUCGCCUGUGACGAAGCGUGAGUGACGGUAAUGGGUAAAGAAGCACCGGCUAACUACGUG
This 468-nucleotide ribosomal RNA is filed under the name uncultured bacterium. RNAcentral's name for it is "partial 16S ribosomal RNA". It matches the Rfam family "Bacterial small subunit ribosomal RNA", at positions 28 to 507 of the family's 1533-position model. The record is from RNAcentral.